This 605-nucleotide long non-coding RNA is filed under the name Callithrix jacchus (white-tufted-ear marmoset). RNAcentral describes it as "lncRNA (ENSCJAG00000076206.1)". The record is from RNAcentral. Lineage: Eukaryota; Metazoa; Chordata; Mammalia; Primates; Cebidae.
GCUACGUCAGAGCAUUUGGCUCUUGACUUAGCAUUACAAGCAGAGGGAGAUUAGGUAACAAGGGUGGGGUGGUUCUUGCCAUGGACCUUGCAUAAGUUGAUGCUCCAGAAAGAUUUCUUGACAGAGUGAUUCUAAACCAAGUUGCUAUUUUUGUUGGUAUCUUUCUGGUACAUUUGUUUUCUGUUAUGGAAUUAAACCUGCGCUCCGAGCCUCCUGUUUCAUUGAGGUCAGCUUCUGCUUAUGAGAUAUUUUGUGUUCUUUCCUUAUCCAAAUAGUGCACCCAUAGUAAAUCUGUGUGCCACUUUUGCUGUUGAGUUAUUUUAAAUCUGUUAAUGGUUUCUUGUCUAUGUUUUUCUUUUCCUUUCUUUUUGGAUAAGGUCUUGCUCUGUCACCCAGGCUGGAGUGCAGUGGUGUGACCUCGGCUUACUGCAGCCUCGAACUCCCAGGCUCAAGCGAUCCUCUCACCUCAGCCUCCCCAGGAGCUGGGACUACAGCAGCAUGAGAAUGGACUGAUACACUACAAUAGACUAUGUCCCUGGGUUAUUGGAACCUCAUUCACAGAAGCACAGCAGAAAGGAGGCACUGUGUGCCCCUAAACUGAAGCA